UACGUAGGGCGCGAGCGUUGUCCGGAUUUAUUGGGCGUAAAGAGCUCGUAGGCGGUUUGUUGCGUCGGCUGUGAAAUCCCGAGGCUCAACCUCGGGUCUGCAGUCGAUACGAGCAAACUAGAGUGUUGCAGGGGAGACUGGAAUUCCUGGUGUAGCGGUGAAAUGCGCAGAUAUCAGGAGGAACACCGGUGGCGAAGGCGGGUCUCUGGGCCGAUACUGACGCUGAGGAGCGAAAGCGUGGGGAGCGAACAGG
Molecule: ribosomal RNA, 253 nt
Filed under: uncultured bacterium
Lineage: Bacteria
Description: partial 16S ribosomal RNA
Rfam family: Bacterial small subunit ribosomal RNA
Source: RNAcentral